RNAcentral lists this ribosomal RNA (274 nucleotides) under uncultured bacterium. Its description in RNAcentral is "partial 16S ribosomal RNA". It matches the Rfam family "Bacterial small subunit ribosomal RNA", at positions 523 to 796 of the family's 1533-position model. The record is from RNAcentral.
AUACGGAGGGUCCGAGCGUUAUCCGGAAUCAUUGGGUUUAAAGGGUCCGUAGGCGGGAAUCUAAGUCAGUGGUGAAAUCUUGCAGCUCAACUGUAAAAUUGCCAUUGAUACUGGAUUUCUUGAAUUAGUGUGAAGUGGUUAGAACGUGUAGUGUAGCGGUGAAAUGCAUAGAUAUUACACAGAAUACCAAUUGCGAAGGCAGAUCACUAACACUAUAUUGACGCUGAGGGACGAAAGCGUGGGGAGCGAACAGGAUUAGAAACCCCAGUAGUCC